This 235-nucleotide long non-coding RNA is filed under the name Elaeis guineensis (African oil palm). RNAcentral's name for it is "long non-coding RNA (EGUI_LNC038741)". Lineage: Eukaryota; Viridiplantae; Streptophyta; Magnoliopsida; Arecales; Arecaceae. The record is from RNAcentral.
GAUGGAAGAAACUUUAAAAAAGAUGAUUGAGCUAGUUUUACUUAUAUAUUUUCAUUAAAGUCCUAGCUUGGCAAAGCAUCAAAAGAUAUUUUUAUUCAUCUUAUUUAUAAGAUUUUUAUUUAAAAUUAUCUAAUUGAAUUGAUACAAAAAUUAAGAUUUGGUUCAUAUUCAAUUGUAGUAAACUAAUAUGAUAGUUUUGAAUAUGUCAAUUGAUUUAAAGAUUGAUUUAAAUGGA